GAUCAUGGCUCAGGAUGAACGCUAGCUACAGGCUUAACACAUGCAAGUCGAGGGGCAGCGGGUAUUGAAGCUUGCUUCAAUUGCCGGCGACCGGCGCACGGGUGAGUAACGCGUAUCCAACCUUCCGUACACUCAGGGGAUAGCCUUUCGAAAGAAAGAUUAAUACCUGAUGGUAUGAUGAGAUUGCAUGAUAGCAUCAUUAAAGAUUUAUCGGUGUACGAUGGG
Molecule: ribosomal RNA, 225 nt
Filed under: uncultured bacterium
Lineage: Bacteria
Description: partial 16S ribosomal RNA
Rfam family: Bacterial small subunit ribosomal RNA
Source: RNAcentral